Molecule: long non-coding RNA, 1786 nt
Organism: Chrysemys picta bellii (western painted turtle)
Lineage: Eukaryota; Metazoa; Chordata; Testudines; Emydidae
Source: Ensembl
UUUACUUCCCAAACUAUUUGUUUGAUUUUUUUUUGUAGAAGCUGGAAUUUGUGCAGCUGUUUGUAAUUUGUUAUGAUAAGAAUCAUCUAGUAAAUAUGUUAGCUCAACCUCAAAAGAGUAACCACCCCUCUGCUUAAAAGAAAUGGUACUUCCUGCUUUCAUAAACAGUCAUGUGCAUAGUUUAGCAAGGCCUGAUGCCUCUGGAGCUUUUUCGUUUUGAGCACCAUUGAAUCAGUCCUUACAGAAGUACUGUGAAUCUUGUGGCCUCAUUCUGAACAAAAGGGAUUAGGAAAAAAUCAUUUGAUAAUAAGACUUUGGAAAGCAAGGGCAGGCAAUCUUGGUUGUGAAUAUUUUCUGAUUUUUCCAGAAAUCAAGCAGAAGAUUGAGCUGCUGAUGUCAGUUAACUCUGAGAAGUCGUCCUCUUCAGAAAGACACCAGAAACAAGGAGCAGUUGCCCUGGAUGCAGAUUAUCAACCCUAGCCAAGAUUGCUGUAUUCAUUUCUACCAAGAAUGCUCUUUUCUAGGGCUGUUAAAAGCUCAUCAGUCUUAAUGUUGAACUGUUUACAGUCCUUGACCACGGUAUCCAAAAUGGCCUCAUGUCCAGAAGAUGAAGUUUCAAGGCCAGAGCCUCAACAGAAAGCUCCAUCUGCACCACCACCUCCACCUCCGCCCCCACCUCCGCCCCUGCCAGAGCCAGCACCACCAGAACCAGAGGAGGAGAUUCUGGGAUCUGAUGAUGAGGAGCAAGAAGACCCUGCAGAUUAUUGCAAAGGUUUGUGUAAUUAAGCACUAUAUAAAAAGUUGAAUGUUAAAUAGUAAACAUCUAUAUAGCCCUUGACAACUUUGGUCCUCAAGAGCCACUUGAAUGGUCUUCUUUUAGAGUGAAGCUUAUGCUUUUGUGUGGUAGAGACAGAGUUUUCUUAGUGCUGGUCCUAGAUUAUGGAAUUCACUCCUGCAAGAACCAAGGGUAUGUCUACACUAGAGAGACUAUACAGGCAUUGCUAUGUCACCGUAGCUAUGUUGGCAUAACCCUGUAGUAUAGAUGCUGCCUAUAUGUUGGUGUGGGAGCACCACCUCCCUGAUUGAUGGUAGCUCUAAGUCGAUGGAAACAUUCUUCUGUUGACUUAGCUUCAUCUAUACAGGGGAUUAGUUUGGCAUAACUGUGUCGCUCAGGGAGUGCUUUUUUUCCCCACACACCUGAGCAACGUAAUUAUGUUGAUCUAAUUUUUAAGUGUAGACCAAGCCUAAGAAUGGCCACAAAAGUCACCAUUUUCUGUCUAUGCAAUGCUUAUCACUUUUAUUUAUUUUACUUUCCCCUAGGCAAAGGAAUGGAGAGAACAUUUUUGGACCAACAUUAGACACAUUAUUUUUUAACUCUGCGAGGUUUUUAAAUAGUUUGGUAACUGGGAUGAUAUAAUGAUAUAAUAACCUAUACUUAGAAUAGAAUUUAUUUCUCUGAUUCUUCCCUCUAACUUCUCUGCACCAUUGAGACUCACAUUCACUCACUGGAAAUCUUCUGAUCCUGUCCUUGUACAUUAUAUGGAAACUUUAUUCAUACCUUUCUUAUUCUGCUAUUCUGCCUGAUUUACGAUGUGCAUGGGCUAAUUAGAUCAUCAGCUAGUCCAAUUGCCCCAACUUCUGCAGGGAGUCUUGGAACCAUAUCUUGGGGCAUCACUGGGAAUCUGGUAAAGUACGAAACAUUAUUUUAGUGGAGAAUGCAGAUAAACUCAAGACAAGUGAAAGACAAGUAAAUGUUGAGCAAAAAACGUUAAUGUGAACCAGGAGC